UUUAGUGGUGGUGUGGGUGGUCAGCUGCUGGUGGCGUAUUGGUUGCUGUGUGGACUGGAAUGGCGUUGUGGUGAUGCGUUGGGGCUGUUGUCAUGGACCGGUUCGGGUGAGAGCGGUGGCUGCGUGGGUCUGUCAGGGCUAUCGGUAUGGUGGCUGCUGUGUUGCCAGGUUCCGGCAAGGAAAAGGGAGAGAGUUAAGAAUUCUCUCUCUCUCUCUCGUUCUGAAUGUCUCCAAAAU
This 237-nucleotide long non-coding RNA is filed under the name Populus tremula. RNAcentral's name for it is "long non-coding RNA (PTRE_LNC002870)". Lineage: Eukaryota; Viridiplantae; Streptophyta; Magnoliopsida; Malpighiales; Salicaceae. The record is from RNAcentral.